UACGUAGGGGGGCAAGCGUUGUCCGGAAUUAUUGGGCGUAAAGCGCGUGUAGGCGGUCCGGUAAGUCGGCUGUGAAAGUCCAGGGCUCAACCCUGGGAUGCCGGUCGAUACUGCCGGACUAGAGUUCGGAAGAGGCGAGUGGAAUUCCCGGUGUAGCGGUGAAAUGCGCAGAUAUCGGGGAGGAACACCAAUGGCGAAGGCAAGCUCGCUGGGACGUUACGUG
Molecule: ribosomal RNA, 223 nt
Filed under: uncultured bacterium
Lineage: Bacteria
Description: partial 16S ribosomal RNA
Rfam family: Bacterial small subunit ribosomal RNA
Source: RNAcentral